Molecule: ribosomal RNA, 497 nt
Filed under: uncultured bacterium
Lineage: Bacteria
Description: partial 16S ribosomal RNA
Rfam family: Bacterial small subunit ribosomal RNA
Source: RNAcentral
GACGAACGCUGGCGGCGUGCCUAAUACAUGCAAGUUGAGCGCUGAAGGUUGGUACUUGUACCAACUGGAUGAGCAGCGAACGGGUGAGUAACGCGUGGGGAAUCUGCCUUUGAGCGGGGGACAACAUUUGGAAACGAAUGCUAAUACCGCAUAAAAACUUUAAACACAAGUUUUAAGUUUGAAAGAUGCAAUUGCAUCACUCAAAGAUGAUCCCGCGUUGUAUUAGCUAGUUGGUGAGGUAAAGGCUCACCAAGGCGAUGAUACAUAGCCGACCUGAGAGGAUGAUCGGCCACAUUGGGACUGAGACACGGCCCAAAAGCCUUCGGGAGGCAGCAGUAGGGAAUCUUCGGCAAUGGACGAAAGUCUGACCGAGCAACGACGGGUGAGUGAAGAAGGUUUUCGGAUCGUAAAACUCUGUUGGUAGAGAAGAACGUUGGUGAGAGUGGAAAGCUCAUCAAGUGACGGUAACUACCCAGAAAGGGACGGCUAACUACGUG